Molecule: transfer RNA, 89 nt
Filed under: Streptomyces ficellus
Lineage: Bacteria; Bacillati; Actinomycetota; Actinomycetes; Kitasatosporales; Streptomycetaceae
Description: tRNA-OTHER
Source: RNAcentral
GGUGGGGGGAUAGAUGGAGGAUCACGCACGGCCGGUCUUGAAAACCGUCGUGGCGCGAGCCACCGUGGGUUCAAAUCCCACACCCACCG